CUAAGGAUGAUUUCCUCAGGGCGCCGAUCGCCCCUCAGCAAUGAGGCCCCGAUCGACCGCUCUAUCGAAAUCCCCUGGAAUAUGCCGACCGGGGUCUCACCCCGGACCAAUCGGCGAAAAUGGCGGGACGGCGCCGUCCUCGUUUCUCUUUCUCUCAUCAACUGCGCGCGGCCUUGCGCUGCGCCGGUUGCAACCUUGGCUAAGGCCGCGCUGAACGGUCGCGUGCUUGACGCCUUCCGGGCCGGUAGCUCAGUUGGUUAGAGCACACGCUUGAUAAGCGUGGGGUCGAAGGUUCAACUCCUUCUCGGCCCACCAGCUCUUUAAGCUGCCGCGACGCCGGCAAGGGCCUUAGCUCAGCUGGGAGAGCGCGUGCUUUGCAAGCAUGAGGUCACCGGUUCGAAUCCCGGUAGGCUCCACCAGCCUGCACGGAUCGCCAGGCCUGCAGCGGGAUCGCCAGGGUUGAGAGAAGCAAGGUUCCGCCAUGCAAAUUGGCGGGUUUCACAUCGUGAAGAAGGGUCGCUUCGUUCGGUUCGAGAAUUCGGGCUGGCGGGCGAUGCGAGAGUCAAAUGUCUAACUCUCGCGCGUUCAGGCGUUCCGCCUCAUCAGCGGAUCGUUCGACGCGCAUGAGUUUUGCUGACGAUCAAGCGUGAAAAGGGCGUUCAGG
Molecule: unclassified non-coding RNA, 664 nt
Filed under: uncultured bacterium
Lineage: Bacteria
Description: 16S-23S ribosomal RNA intergenic spacer
Rfam family: tRNA (bases 239-312)
Source: RNAcentral